GCGGGCCUGGCCGGGCAGGAAGUGACGUGCUCCCUGCACUCCCGCGGGCUCCAAUCUCUGUGUGAGCUAGUGCUGGCGGCAGAGUCAAAACAAGAACCUCUCCGCCCUGUCUCUGGUCUGUGUCCAGGUUGUCACUACUCUCUUGGGUUAUCAGCUUGUGAAGCUGUGUUUCCUCUUCGAGGACGGCGGACCACCAAUUUAAACUAAGGCCACUUACCGUCUCUUUUUUUGAGCCAUGCUUUGAAGAGAUGGAAUGGACAAGAGUCUACCUUGCAUAAAGGAAAGACCAAAGAGGAACAUCAAUGCAGAGAAGAACUGAGAUCAAGGAGGAGGUCUUUGAGCUCUGUAUUCCCAAUACCCUGAACAGGGACUUACAUAUAAAUGCCCUAGAUGUAUGAGGUUUUUGUUGUGGCUCAUACAACAUUGUAAUGUUUUGAGAAGAAAGUACCAUUUAAUUAAUACGGAUUCAGCAUGGAUUCCAUAGACCAGCAAGGGAUCAGAAGAAUCCGUUACUCAUUUUCAAAGUAGCCGUACAACUUUGCAUUUCCAUCAGUGAUGUAUGAGAGUUCCAGUUUGUUCUACUUCAUUGCUGACACUUGAUAUCACCAGUCUUUUUAAUUUUAAUCAUCCUAAUAUGUCUAUAGGAAUAAUUCAUGCCUAUAGUUUGGAUGUGUCACCUCCAAAAUUCAUGUGUUGGAAACUUACUCCCCAGUAUGACAAUACUGGGAGGCAGGGCCAAAUGGGAGGUAUGUCAGUCUUGAGGGCCCUGCCCUCAUGAAUGAAUUAGUGGUACUAUAAAAAAGUGCUUGUGGAUGUGGAUCUCUCUCUCUUCUUCUCUUUUUCCAUGUGAGGGCAUGGUGUUCCUCUCCCGCUGCAGAACUCAGCGCUCAAGGUACCAUUUUCAAAGCAGAGACUGGGCUUUAGUGUGCCAAUGCCACUUCUCAGCUUCCAUAACAGGGACAAAUAAAUUUCUGUUCUUUACAAAUUACUCAAUCUCAGGUAUUUUGUUAUAGCAGCACAAACCAGACUGAGGUACUCAUUGUGAUUGUAACUUGCAUUUCCCUAACAAUGAUGAUGUUGUUAAUUUGUGUGUGCAUGUAUUCUUGUUUGCCAUUCAUUUAUCU
Ictidomys tridecemlineatus (thirteen-lined ground squirrel) is the source of this 1124-nucleotide non-coding RNA. The record is from RefSeq and is a predicted model, not a curated record. Lineage: Eukaryota; Metazoa; Chordata; Mammalia; Rodentia; Sciuridae.